RNAcentral lists this ribosomal RNA (511 nucleotides) under uncultured bacterium. Its description in RNAcentral is "partial 16S ribosomal RNA". It matches the Rfam family "Bacterial small subunit ribosomal RNA", at positions 28 to 523 of the family's 1533-position model. The record is from RNAcentral.
GACGAACGCUGGCGGCGUGCCUAACACAUGCAAGUCGAACGGAGAUAUUAAUGAAGCUUGCGACUUGAUAUCUUAGUGGCGGACGGGUGAGUAACGCGUGGGUAAUCUGCCCAUAAGUGGGGAAUAACAGUUGGAAACGACUGCUAAUACCGCAUAUGGUGAGAAAUCAUUAAAGGUGGCCUCUGAAGAUGCUGCCGCUUAUGGAUGAGCCCGCGUCUGAUUAGCUAGUUGGUGGGGUAAAGGCCUACCAGGGCGACGAUCAGUAGCCGGCCUGAGAGGGGAGACGGCCACAUUGGGGCUGGAACACGGCCCAAACUCCUACGGGAGGCAGCAGUGGGGAACAUUGCGCAAUAGGGGAAACCCUGACGCAGCGACGCGGCGUGGGCGCUUAAGGCCUUAGGGUUGUAAAGCUCUGUUUUAAGGGACGAAUGUUACUGUGCGUAAUAUGCGCGGUAAAUGACGGUACCUUAAGAGGAAUCCCCGGCUAACUCCGUGCCAGCCGCCGCAGUAA